Molecule: ribosomal RNA, 260 nt
Filed under: Thalassiosira rotula
Lineage: Eukaryota; Bacillariophyta; Thalassiosirophyceae; Thalassiosirales; Thalassiosiraceae
Description: partial Bacterial large subunit ribosomal RNA
Rfam family: Bacterial large subunit ribosomal RNA
Source: RNAcentral
UGCGAGACCUACAAGUCGAGCAGGUACGAAAGUAGGACAUAGUGAUCCGGUGGUUCUGUAUGGAAGGGCCAUCGCUCAACGGAUAAAAGGUACUCCGGGGAUAACAGGCUGAUACCGCCCAAGAGUUCAUAUCGACGGCGGUGUUUGGCACCUCGAUGUCGGCUCAUCACAUCCUGGGGCUGAAGCCGGUCCCAAGGGUAUGGCUGUUCGCCAUUUAAAGUGGUACGCGAGCUGGGUUUAGAACGUCGUGAGACAGUUCG